RNAcentral lists this ribosomal RNA (497 nucleotides) under uncultured bacterium. RNAcentral's name for it is "partial 16S ribosomal RNA". It matches the Rfam family "Bacterial small subunit ribosomal RNA", at positions 28 to 507 of the family's 1533-position model. The record is from RNAcentral.
GAUGAACGCUGGCGGCGUGCCUAAUACAUGCAAGUCGAGCGAACAGAUAAGGAGCUUGCUCCUUUGACGUUAGCGGCGGACGGGUGAGUAACACGUGGGUAACCUACCUAUAAGACUGGGAUAACUUCGGGAAACCGGAGCUAAUACCAGAUAACAUUUGGAACCGCAUGGUUCUAAAGUGAAAGAUGGUUUUGCUAUCACUUAUAGAUGGACCCGCGCCGUAUUAGCUAGUUGGUAAGGUAACGGCUUACCAAGGCGACGAUACGUAGCCGACCUGAGAGGGUGAUCGGCCACACUGGAACUGAGACACGGUCCAGACUCCUACGGGAGGCAGCAGUAGGGAAUCUUCCGCAAAGGGCGAAAGCCUGACGGAGCAACGCCGCGUGAGUGAUGAAGGGUUUCGGCUCGUAAAACUCUGUUAUUAGGGAAGAACAAAUGUGUAAGUAACUGUGCACGUCUUGACGGUACCUAAUCAGAAAGCCACGGCUAACUACGUG